AUUCAGCUGACGAGUCCUAAAUAGGAUGAAACGCACUUCCUAGAU
Molecule: non-coding RNA, 45 nt
Filed under: Schistosoma haematobium
Lineage: Eukaryota; Metazoa; Platyhelminthes; Trematoda; Strigeidida; Schistosomatidae
Source: RNAcentral